RNAcentral lists this long non-coding RNA (951 nucleotides) under Olea europaea subsp. europaea. The record is from RNAcentral. Lineage: Eukaryota; Viridiplantae; Streptophyta; Magnoliopsida; Lamiales; Oleaceae.
AAAUAAUAAAUAUUAAUAAAUAAUUGAUUUUUUUAAAGAAGAAAUACAAGUUAUACAUAUUUUUUAAAACACACGUUUGAUGUACAUUUAACUAUUUUCGAUAUUCAUUUAGAUCAUUCAAUGCGUCUAUGACAGUUCUCAAAAUGAAUUUCGAAAGAAUAUAGAAGAUUUAUGCAUUCGACUACCGUACAAUCGUCGAUGAAUUUAUAAAGUUAGCAUAUUAUCGAAAUUCUUAAUUUUUUUAAAUGAUGUCUCUUUUGACAUUAAAAAAAUUUAAAUGUUUAUUAGGAAAUUUUCUAAAUGACGUCAAAAAUUAUUAUCACGAAAAAAUAAUAAACAUUAAUAAAAUAAUUAUUUUUUUAAGAAAAACGAGUUAUACGCAUUUUUUAACACACACGUUUGAUAUACGUUUAACUAUUUUCGAUAUUCAUUUGGAUUAUUCGAUAUGUUUAUGAUAUAGUUCUCGAAAUGAAUUUCAAGAGAAUAUAAAAGGUUUAUGGUAGAUUUUUAUUAAAAAAUAAAAUAAAUCACUUAAUAAAAAAAUUUGACAAAAAAAUAAAUAAAUAAAGCAACUCUGCGCAUCACGAUGCUUCGUGAUGCGCGGAGCAUAUUUGCUCCUGGAUGUCAGGUGCAAUUUUGCUCCGUUAGGGAAUUUUUUUUUUAAUAAAUGAUGUUCAGUGUCAAUUUCUUUUUUUUUUAUUAGGUGAUUUAUUUAUUUAUUUUUUUUGGUAAAAAUCUAUCAUAAAUCUUUAUAAAUAUUCUAUAUUCUCUCGAAGUUUGUUUCGAUAACUAUAUAAUAGAUACAUCGAAUGAUUUAAAUGAAUAUCGAAGAUAGUUAAACAUACAUCAAGCGUGUGUUAAAAAAUGCUUAUACUUGUCCUUUUUUCUUUAAAAAAUCAAUUAUUUUAUUAUUUUUUAUUAUUUUUUCGCAACAAUUCAUUUUUGACGUCA